This 646-nucleotide ribosomal RNA is filed under the name uncultured bacterium. RNAcentral's name for it is "bacterial SSU rRNA". It matches the Rfam family "Bacterial small subunit ribosomal RNA", at positions 143 to 807 of the family's 1533-position model. The record is from RNAcentral.
AUAACAGUCAGAAAUGACUGCUAAUACCGCAUAAGACCACAGCACCGCAUGGUGCAGGGGUAAAAACUCCGGUGGUACAGGAUGGACCCGCGUCUGAUUAGCUGGUUGGCGAGGUAACGGCUCACCAAGGCGACGAUCAGUAGCCGGCUUGAGAGAGUGAACGGCCACAUUGGGACUGAGACACGGCCCAAACUCCUACGGGAGGCAGCAGUGGGGAAUAUUGCACAAUGGGGGGAACCCUGAUGCAGCGACGCCGCGUGAGUGAAGAAGUAUCUCGGUAUGUAAAGCUCUAUCAGCAGGGAAGAAAAUGACGGUACCUGACUAAGAAGCCCCGGCUAACUACGUGCCAGCAGCCGCGGUAAUACGUAGGGGGCAAGCGUUAUCCGGAAUUACUGGGUGUAAAGGGUGCGUAGGUGGUAUGGCAAGUCAGAAGUGAAAACCCAGGGCUUAACUCUGGGACUGCUUUUGAAACUGUCAGACUGGAGUGCAGGAGAGGUAAGCGGAAUUCCUAGUGUAGCGGUGAAAUGCGUAGAUAUUAGGAGGAACAUCAGUGGCGAAGGCGGCUUACUGGACUGAAACUGACACUGAGGCACGAAAGCGUGGGGAGCAAACAGGAUUAGAUACCCUGGUAGUCCACGCCGUAAAC